CCUACGGGGGGCAGCAGUAGGGAAUCUUUCACAAUGGGCGAAAGCCUGAUGGAGCAACGCCGCGUGCAGGAUGAAGGCCUUCGGGUUGUAAACUGCUUUUAUAAGCGAGAAAUAUGAUGGUAACUUAUGAAUAAGGAUCGGCUAACUACGUGCCAGCAGCCGCGGUCAUACGUAGGAUCCGAGCAUUAUCCGGAGUGACUGGGUGUAAAGAGUUGCGUAGGUGGCAUAAUAAGUAGCUAGUGAAAUCUGGUGGCUCAACCAUUCAGACUAUUAGCUAAACUGUUAAGCUCGAGACCGUUAGGGGUAACUGGAAUUUCUAGUGUAGGAGUGAAAUCCGGAGAUAUUAGAAGGAACACCAAUAGCGUAGGCAGGUUGCUGGGACGGUUCUGACACUAAGGCACGAAAGCGUAGGGAGCAAACGGGAUUAGAUACCCGUGUAGUC
RNAcentral lists this ribosomal RNA (442 nucleotides) under uncultured bacterium. RNAcentral describes it as "partial 16S ribosomal RNA". It matches the Rfam family "Bacterial small subunit ribosomal RNA", at positions 338 to 795 of the family's 1533-position model. The record is from RNAcentral.